This 253-nucleotide ribosomal RNA is filed under the name uncultured bacterium. RNAcentral describes it as "partial 16S ribosomal RNA". It matches the Rfam family "Bacterial small subunit ribosomal RNA", at positions 524 to 776 of the family's 1533-position model. The record is from RNAcentral.
UACGAAGGGGGCUAGCGUUGCUCGGAAUUACUGGGCGUAAAGGGCGCGUAGGCUGUCUUGUUAGUCGGGUGUGAAACCCCCGAGCUCAACCUGGGAACUGCACUCAAUACGGCAUGGCUUGAGGACGAGAGAGGGUGGUGGAACUCCCAGUGUAGAGGUGAAAUUCGUAGAUAUUGGGAAGAACACCAGUGGCGAAGGCGGCUACCUGGCUCGUUCCUGACGCUGAGGCGCGAAAGCGUGGGGAGCAAACGGG